Molecule: ribosomal RNA, 491 nt
Filed under: uncultured bacterium
Lineage: Bacteria
Description: partial 16S ribosomal RNA
Rfam family: Bacterial small subunit ribosomal RNA
Source: RNAcentral
AGUGAACGCUGGCGGUAGGCCUAACACAUGCAAGUCGAACGGCAGCACAGUAAGAGCUUGCUCUUACGGGUGGCGAGUGGCGGACGGGUGAGGAAUACAUCGGAAUCUACUUUUUCGUGGGGGAUAACGUAGGGAAACUUACGCUAAUACCGCAUACGACCUACGGGUGAAAGCAGGGGAUCUUCGGACCUUGCGCGAUUGAAUGAGCCGAUGUCGGAUUAGCUAGUUGGCGGGGUAAAGGCCCACCAAGGCGACGAUCCGUAGCUGGUCUGAGAGGAUGAUCAGCCACACUGGAACGGAGACACGGUCCAGACUCCUACGGGAGGCAGCAGUGGGGAAUAUUGGACAAUGGGCGCAAGCCUGAUCCAGCCAUACCGCGUGGGUGAAGAAGGCCUUCGGGUUGUAAAGCCCUUUUGUUGGGAGAGAAAAGCAGCAGGUUAAUACCCCGCUGUUCUGACGGUACCCAAAGAAUAAGCACCGGCUAACUUCGU